Molecule: unclassified non-coding RNA, 563 nt
Filed under: Hevea brasiliensis (rubber tree)
Lineage: Eukaryota; Viridiplantae; Streptophyta; Magnoliopsida; Malpighiales; Euphorbiaceae
Source: RNAcentral
UUCCUUCAAUCCAAACACAACCUAUAGUUAGAUUCCAAGAUUACCCGAGGAACAGUUGGAAGCAUAGGUUCCUUUCCCUUUAACUAUAAAAUUCGAUUCAUCUCCAUUAAUUAAUCGAACCUGUGAUUCAAUUCUUCUUGACUCUUCUUGUGCAUCUUCAUUAUCAAUUCCUUCAGCCUCUUUAUCUGACUCUCAACCUUGAGAUGCAUUACUUGAUUGAGAUGAUGCAUCUCUUGAUUCCCAUCUUGAAACCUUUUGCUCCAAAGCUUGCAUUUGGUACUUAAGAAUCUGAAUCUUAAGGUUUUCCAUGGUCUGUUUUUUCUUCGCCGGCUUUGACUUUACAAUCUGUACAAUCAUUAGGUCCUCUAGAUCUUGAUGCUCUGAUACCAAACUCAAGCUCAUGAACAUGGCAACAAGCACAACGAAAGAAAGAAAAGCAGAGAAUGAGAAUAGAGGAGAAGUUUCGAGAAUAAGUGCAGAAAUAGAGAAAGAGGAAGAAUAAAAAACAGAGAAUGAGAGACAAAAGGAAAUCAAGGAGAAAGAAUUAAGCUGGCAAAUUUUUG